RNAcentral lists this ribosomal RNA (484 nucleotides) under Hoplisoma tukano. RNAcentral's name for it is "Corydoras tukano partial 16S ribosomal RNA". It matches the Rfam family "Bacterial large subunit ribosomal RNA", at positions 1850 to 2543 of the family's 2925-position model. The record is from RNAcentral. Lineage: Eukaryota; Metazoa; Chordata; Actinopteri; Siluriformes; Callichthyidae.
AGGUCCUGCCUGCCCAGUGACUAUGUUAAACGGCCGCGGUAUUUUGACCGUGCAAAGGUAGCGCAAUCACUUGUCUUUUAAAUGAAGACCUGUAUGAAUGGUGAAACGAGGGCCUAACUGUCUCCCUUUUCAAGUCAAUGAAAUUGAUCUGCCCGUGCAGAAGCGGACAUAUAAGUACAAGACGAGAAGACCCUUUGGAGCUUAAGAUUAAAAAUCAACUAUGUCAAAUAUCCAUCAGAUAAAACUAAAUAACACCUGAUCAUAAUCUUCGGUUGGGGCGACCACGGAAUAAAAACAAACUUCCACAAGGACUGAGGACUAACCUUAAAACCAAGAAAGACAUUUCUAAGUCACAGAAUUUCUGACCAUAUAGAUCCGGUAAAUCACCGAUCAAUGGACCAAGUUACCCUAGGGAUAACAGCGCAAUCCCCUUUUAGAGUCCCUAUCGACAAGGGGGUUUACGACCUCGAUGUUGGAUCAGGAC